GAUGAACGCUGGCGGCGUGCCUAAUACAUGCAAGUCGAGCGAACAGACGAGGAGCUUGCUCCUCUGACGUUAGCGGCGGGCGGGUGAGUAACACGUGGAUAACCUACCUAUAAGACUGGGAUAACUUCGGGAAACCGGAGCUAAUACCGGAUAAUAUAUUGAACCGCAUGGUUCAAUAGUGAAAGACGGUUUUGCUGUCACUUAUAGAUGGAUCCGCGCCGCAUUAGCUAGUUGGUAAGGUAACGGCUUACCAAGGCAACGAUGCGUAGCCGACCUGAGAGGGUGAUCGGCCACACUGGAACUGAGACACGGUCCAGACUCCUACGGGAGGCAGCAGUAGGGAAUCUUCCGCAAUGGGCGAAAGCCUGACGGAGCGACGCCGCGUGAGUGAUGAAGGUCUUCGGAUCGUAAAACUCUGUUAUUAGGGAAGAACAAAUGUGUAAGUAACUAUGCACGUCUUGACGGUACCUAAUCAGAAAGCCACGGCUAACUACGUG
This 497-nucleotide ribosomal RNA is filed under the name uncultured bacterium. Its description in RNAcentral is "partial 16S ribosomal RNA". It matches the Rfam family "Bacterial small subunit ribosomal RNA", at positions 28 to 507 of the family's 1533-position model. The record is from RNAcentral.